AGAGUGGGUUAGUCCACAACGAGCGCACCUUACUUUUAGUUGCCAUCAUUUAGUUGGGCACUCUGAAAGAACUGCCAGUGAUAAGCUGGAGGAAGGUGGGGAUGACGUCAAGUCCUCAUGGCCCUUAUGUGUUGGGCUACACACGUGCUACAAUGGCAUUUACAAUAGGAAGCAAGAUGGUGACAUUAAGCAAAUCCUAAAAAAAUGCCUUAGUUCGGAUUGUACUCUGCAACUCGAGUACAUGAAGCUGGAAUUACUAGUAAUCGUGGAUCAGCGUGCCACGGUGAAUACGUUCCCGGGUCUUGUACACACCGCCCGUCACACCAUGGGAGUUGGUUCUACCUUAAGGCAAGGUUUAAUACCCUUGACCACGGUAUAGUCAGCGACUGGGGUGAAGUCGUAACAAGGUAGCCGUAGGGGAACCUGCGGCUGGAUUACCUCCUUUCU
RNAcentral lists this ribosomal RNA (447 nucleotides) under uncultured Pelagibacterales bacterium. RNAcentral describes it as "bacterial SSU rRNA". It matches the Rfam family "Bacterial small subunit ribosomal RNA", at positions 1073 to 1533 of the family's 1533-position model. The record is from RNAcentral. Lineage: Bacteria; Pseudomonadati; Pseudomonadota; Alphaproteobacteria; Candidatus Pelagibacterales.